CUUAUAAACACAUCUGUGAGUGCACUAAGCUUUCACUGCGAAGAUAAAUAAUACAAUCAGGUCUCAUCAAUAAGAGCUUGAUAGGAUAACUGAUACAAUUUACAUAGGAAAGAGGAACAAUGUUUAGAAGUCAUGAUAUUCGCUGUUUAGUUUCAUUAGCAGCCAUUUGGUUGACUGAUGUGUGUUAUAACACAGCAAUCGUAGGGCUUCAAUAAUCGAAUUAAUUUAGUUUAUAAGUUUUGAUAACAAGUUUUUUAGCGAAUAACGGUAAAACAUUGUAGAAAUACUCUGAGUCAUAAUAAAUUAUCAGUCAAAGCUACUAUACUGGCA
Molecule: non-coding RNA, 330 nt
Organism: Schizosaccharomyces pombe (fission yeast)
Lineage: Eukaryota; Fungi; Ascomycota; Schizosaccharomycetes; Schizosaccharomycetales; Schizosaccharomycetaceae
Source: the annotation of a GenBank genome assembly